CAUGUUUCAUAGAAGAGGAAAUAGGUAGUUAGCAUGCCACAGCGAUAUGGUUAGAUGGACAAGAGAAAAGAAGCCAAUAUAGGAAUACAGUGGGCAACGGGAUGAACACUCGCACUGGAGAAAGACUCAAGAGACUAGAAAUGAGGAGUGAUACAAACGGGAAAGAGGUUCACUGGGAAUCUAAACUUGUGUAGUGGACAAAAUUCAAUACUACCGACAAGACAAAGUUCGAGGCAAGUUGGUGAACAUAGUGAAGCAUUUAGCGGCUAAAGAGACAGGAGAACAAAGCAGAGCUAAAAGGCGAGUGAAU
This is a long non-coding RNA of Micropterus dolomieu (smallmouth bass), 310 nucleotides long. RefSeq lists it as uncharacterized. The transcript is spliced from 3 exons. The record is from RefSeq and is a predicted model, not a curated record. NCBI's taxonomy places the organism in Eukaryota, Metazoa, Chordata, Actinopteri, Centrarchiformes, Centrarchidae.